GUUCCCAGCUUCUCUGUCCCAGGGGUCCACCUGCUGGCCUGUUCCCACAGCUCCUUCACCACAAGGUGCCAACACUGUAUGGCCCUGACUCGGGCACUUCCGCCUGGGACUGCUACUGGGAGGGCCUGAGCUCUCUGAUGUGCCUCCUGGGGCUGGCUGCUGGCCUUUGGGGUCUGUGGCUCCUCGUCCCUGAGCAGGAGUGAGAGCUGGACAGGGAGGUGUGUCCCAGCCUUCAUGCCUGGACUGUAAGGUGCACGAAGGGGCCAAAGCAGGCGAGAGCACCCCUUCCACUCUCUCCCCCGACUGCGGCUGGAGACUUGGUGAGAUGGGAGGGCAGCUGAAGGCUCUGGGGGUCCUGUUUCCAGUUUGCUGGGCACCACGCCAGCAGUGGUCCUCCUCUCAGUGCUGAGCACAGCAGUCCCCGCCAUACCACCCAGGGGGGUGACCACACUGUAGGAGCAGGGGUGGGUCAGAGUGUCUGUUCUGAGCUGUUUCCAGGAACUUCUGGUGUCCCUGUUCCAGUGGCCCAUCCCUGGGCACUCUGUUCCAGUGCCCCCUUGUCCUGUGCUCCUGUCCUGGCACCGACCAUCCUGUCCGUAUGCACUGACUGUGUGUAUGCCUAGAGGUGUGUCUGACCUGUGCACCCCAAAAAGUGGGCACCAGGGUGCAGGUGCAGUCAGUGGAGAGAGGGAUUUUCCCCAGAGUCCAUCAACCCUUCCCCAUGCUGAGGGUAGCAGAGUUCCAACUGGCCUAGGCCACUGGCCACUAACAGACACCACUGGAUCCUAACAGAACUGAGACUCCAGGACUCACCAAGCUUGGUGGCUGAAAGACAGGGGAAGGUGGGACGCAAGCCCUGGGUCCCCCCAGGACUGAAUCCUGUGAGGGUCCUGUACCCUGGGGGUGCAGGGCAGCAGGCAGUAGCCCAUCAGGCUGGCUGCCCAGGGGAGGGGUGCACUGCUAACUAGGCCAGGAAUUUCUGGGGGCUGGGCAGAGGUGACCUGAGCUUGCCUCCCACAGGAUGGCCGCCCUGGGAAUUCCCACGGCCUUGUUCUCCCUGCUUAGCAGGUACCUGGCAAGGCUAAGAGGUCCAGGCUCCAC
RNAcentral lists this long non-coding RNA (1101 nucleotides) under Marmota monax (woodchuck). The record is from RNAcentral. Lineage: Eukaryota; Metazoa; Chordata; Mammalia; Rodentia; Sciuridae.